This 328-nucleotide ribosomal RNA is filed under the name uncultured eukaryote. RNAcentral describes it as "partial 18S ribosomal RNA". It matches the Rfam family "Eukaryotic small subunit ribosomal RNA", at positions 1470 to 1796 of the family's 1831-position model. The record is from RNAcentral.
CCCUUAGAUGUCCUGGGCCGCACGCGCGCUACACUGAUGCAUGCAACGAGUUUAUAACCUUGGCCUGAAAGGUCUGGGUAAUCUUUUGAACGUGCAUUGUGAUAGGGAUAGAUUAUUGCAAUUGUUAAUCUUGAACGAGGAAUUCCUAGUAAACGCGAGUCAUCAGCUCGCAUUGAUUACGUCCCUGCCCUUUGUACACACCGCCCGUCGCACCUACCGAUUGAAUGGUUCGGUGAAGAUCUCGGACUUCGAUAUUUAUUCUUUAUUGAGUUUAUAUUGUGGGAAGUUAUCUAAACCUCAUCAUUUAGAGGAAGGUGAAGUCGUAACA